GGCGAACGCUGGCGGCGUGCUUAACACAUGCAAGUCGAACGGAAAGGCCCUGCUUUUGUGGGGUGCUCGAGUGGCGAACGGGUGAGUAACACGUGAGUAACCUGCCCUUGACUUUGGGAUAACUUCAGGAAGCUGGGGCUAAUACCGGAUAGGAGCUCCUGCUGCAUGGUGGAGGUUGGAAAGUUUCGGCGGUUGGGGAUGGACUCGCGGCUUAUCAGCUUGUUGGUGGGGUAGUGGCUUACCAAGGCUUUGACGGGUAGCCGGCCUGAGAGGGUGACCGGCCACAUUGGGACUGAGAUACGGCCCAGACUCCUACGGGAGGCAGCAGUGGGGAAUAUUGCACAAUGGGCGGAAGCCUGAUGCAGCAACGCCGCGUGCGGGAUGACGGCCUUCGGGUUGUAAACCGCUUUCGCCUGUGACGAAGCGUGAGUGACGGUAAUGGGUAAAGAAGCACCGGCUAACUACGUG
RNAcentral lists this ribosomal RNA (468 nucleotides) under uncultured bacterium. RNAcentral describes it as "partial 16S ribosomal RNA". It matches the Rfam family "Bacterial small subunit ribosomal RNA", at positions 28 to 507 of the family's 1533-position model. The record is from RNAcentral.